GUGGAUUAGAUACCCUAGUAGUCCUAGCCGUAAACGAUGGAUGCUAGGUGUAGGUGGUAUUGACCCCAUCUGUGCCGAAGCUAACGCGUUAAGCAUCCCGCCUGGGGACUACGGCCGCAAGGUUAAAACUCAAAGGAAUUGACGGGGACCCGCACAAGCAGCGGAGCGUGUGGUUUAAUUCGAUGCUACACGAAGAACCUUACCCAGGUUUGACAUGUAGGUAGUAGUGAAGCGAAAGCAGAACGAUCCUUCGGGAAGCCUGCACAGGUGCUGCAUGGCCGUCGCCAACU
This 290-nucleotide ribosomal RNA is filed under the name uncultured bacterium. Its description in RNAcentral is "partial 16S ribosomal RNA". It matches the Rfam family "Bacterial small subunit ribosomal RNA", at positions 773 to 1060 of the family's 1533-position model. The record is from RNAcentral.